UUUCCGUAGGUGAACCUGCGGAAGGAUCAUUCAUAAUAAAGUGUUUUAUGGCACUUUUUAAAAAUCCAUAUCCACCUUGUGUGCAAUGUUAGAUCUCGUCAAGCUUGGCGAGAUUUUUAUACAUCAACUCAUUCUUUAACUAAUUUGUCUGAAAAAUAUUAUGAAUACUUAAUUCAAAAUACAACUUUCAACAACGGAUCUCUUGGCUCUC
RNAcentral lists this unclassified non-coding RNA (211 nucleotides) under plant metagenome. RNAcentral describes it as "partial contains small subunit ribosomal RNA, internal transcribed spacer 1, and 5.8S ribosomal RNA". The record is from RNAcentral.